Molecule: unclassified non-coding RNA, 319 nt
Filed under: Ascomycota sp.
Lineage: Eukaryota; Fungi; Ascomycota
Description: partial contains small subunit ribosomal RNA, internal transcribed spacer 1, and 5.8S ribosomal RNA
Rfam family: Eukaryotic small subunit ribosomal RNA (bases 1-47)
Source: RNAcentral
AAAGUCGUAACAAGGUUUCCGUAGGUGAACCUGCGGAAGGAUCAUUAAAGCGUUGCCGACGUCGGCCCCGGCCGUCCGGCUUGAGAUAUAGCCUGGACGGUGCUGGAGGUCGCCGGCAGUUGCCCAUUCUUGCCUACUGACCCAGUUGCCUCGGCGAGCCCUGCCACCUGUGGCAGACCGGAAGCCGCCUGAGCCCCUAGGGCUUAGGCGGCCCUGGCCAGUGCCCGCCGACGGACAUACCUAAAAUCUUUAUAUAUUGGCCGUCUGAGCGUAUAAAGCAAAUCAAUUAAAACUUUCAACAACGGAUCUCUUGGUUCCG